RNAcentral lists this ribosomal RNA (503 nucleotides) under uncultured bacterium. RNAcentral's name for it is "partial 16S ribosomal RNA". It matches the Rfam family "Bacterial small subunit ribosomal RNA", at positions 30 to 523 of the family's 1533-position model. The record is from RNAcentral.
AUUGAACGCUGGCGGCAGGCUUAACACAUGCAAGUCGAGCGGGGUGAUGGUGCUUGCACUAUCACUUAGCGGCGGACGGGUGAGUAAUGCUUAGGAAUCUGCCUAUUAGUGGGGGACAACAUCUCGAAAGGGAUGCUAAUACCGCAUACGUCCUACGGGAGAAGGCAGGGGAUCACUUGUGACCUUGCGCUAAUAGAUGAGCCUAAGUCGGAUUAGCUAGUUGGUGGGGUAAAGGCCUACCAAGGCGACGAUCUGUAGCGGGUCUGAGAGGAUGAUCCGCCACACUGGGACUGAGACACGGCCCAGACUCCUACGGGGGGCAGCAGUGGGGAAUAUUGGACAAUGGGGGGAACCCUGAUCCAGCCAUGCCGCGUGUGUGAAGAAGGCCUUAUGGUUGUAAAGCACUUUAAGCGAGGAGGAGGCUCUUUUGGUUAAUACCCAAGAUGAGUGGACGUUACUCGCAGAAUAAGCACCGGCUAACUCUGUGCCAGCCGCCGCAGUAA